AGCUUCAGUAGCGUAUAUUAAAGUUGUUGCAGUUAAAAAGCUCGUAGUCGCAUUUCUGGCGAGAGGAUCCGGUCCGACCUUUUGGUGGGUUCUCGGGUCUCUUUCGCCAUCCUUGAGUGGUCCGUUCUGGCAUUAGGUUGUCGGAGCGUCAGCCGCUCAUCGUUUACUGUGAGAAAAUUAGAGUGUUCAAAGCAGGCUUAUGCCGUUGAAUAUAUUAGCAUGGAAUAAUAAGAUAGGACCUCGGUACUAUUUUGUUGGUUUGCGCACCAAGGUAAUGAUGAACAGGGACAGUUGGGGGUAUUUGUAUUUCGUUGUCAGAGGUGAAAUCCUUAGAUUUACGAAAGACAAACUACUGCGAAAGCAUUUACCAAGGAUGUUUUCA
Molecule: ribosomal RNA, 382 nt
Filed under: uncultured marine Chaetocerotaceae
Lineage: Eukaryota; Bacillariophyta; Thalassiosirophyceae; Chaetocerotales; Chaetocerotaceae
Description: SSU rRNA
Rfam family: Eukaryotic small subunit ribosomal RNA
Source: RNAcentral